CCCUUAGAUGUUCUGGGCUGCACGCGCGCUACACUGAUGCGCUCAACGAGUUUAUGACCUUGCCCGGAAGGGUUGGGUAAUCUUUUCAAAACGCAUCGUGAUGGGGAUAGAUUAUUGCAAUUAUUAAUCUUCAACGAGGAAUUCCUAGUAAGCGCGAGUCAUCAGCUCGUGCUGAUUACGUCCCUGCCCUUUGUACACACCGCCCGUCGCUCCUACCGAUUGAGGGAUCCGGUGAAUAAUUCGGACUGCAGCAAUGUUCAGCUCCUGAAUGUUGCAGCGGAAAGUUUAGUGAACCUUAUCACUUAGAGGAAGGAGAAGUCGUAACA
RNAcentral lists this ribosomal RNA (326 nucleotides) under uncultured eukaryote. RNAcentral's name for it is "partial 18S ribosomal RNA". It matches the Rfam family "Eukaryotic small subunit ribosomal RNA", at positions 1470 to 1796 of the family's 1831-position model. The record is from RNAcentral.